CUGGCGGCAUGCCUUACACAUGCAAGUCGAACGGCAGCAUGGAAGAGCUUGCUCUUCUGAUGGCGAGUGGCGAACGGGUGAGUAAAGCAUCGGAACGUACCGUGUAGUGGGGGAUAACGUAGCGAAAGUUACGCUAAUACCGCAUACGCACUGAGGUGGAAAGCAGGGGAUCGCAAGACCUUGCGCUAUACGAGCGGCCGAUGUCAGAUUAGCUAGUUGGUAGGGUAAAGGCCUACCAAGGCGACGAUCUGUAGCGGGUCUGAGAGGAUGAUCCGCCACACUGGGACUGAGACACGGCCCAGACUCCUACGGGAGGCAGCAGUGGGGAAUUUUGGACAAUGGGCGAAAGCCUGAUCCAGCCAUGCCGCGUGAGUGAAGAAGGCCUUCGGGUUGUAAAGCUCUUUCGGCUGGGAAGAAAUCGCACAGGCUAAUACUCUUGUGUGGAUGACGGUACCAGCACAAGAAGCACCGGCUAACUACGUG
Molecule: ribosomal RNA, 483 nt
Filed under: uncultured bacterium
Lineage: Bacteria
Description: bacterial SSU rRNA
Rfam family: Bacterial small subunit ribosomal RNA
Source: RNAcentral